This 2697-nucleotide long non-coding RNA is filed under the name Sus scrofa (pig). Its description in RNAcentral is "lncRNA (ENSSSCG00050074118.1)". Lineage: Eukaryota; Metazoa; Chordata; Mammalia; Artiodactyla; Suidae. The record is from RNAcentral.
GGGUAUGUAGAAAGUUCGAGAGCAAGUUGGCUGGCAGAUGGCAGAUGCAGAAGACCCCGGACGGCUGCAGAGGGGUCGGCAGGAUGCAGACUGGCAGGAAACGGGCUCACAGCAGAUGGACCGACUGCGCUUAACUACAUAGCAGGUAGGCUGACAUGGCCUGGGCACACAGACUUUUGGCAAGCAGGGGCUGGGCUCAGAGCAGAUGGGUUGGCAGAUGCUGGAGACGCAGCAAGAGGGCUCCUGGCAAGUGCUGGAAACACAAGGUGGCUCGCGAGGGCUUGGGACACAGCAGACCGGGCGGACACAGACAGGCUCACAGACCAGAGAUACGCCGGUGGCUGGCUGGCAGAUGCUGGGCUCCGAGCAGGAUGGCUCACAAGGACUGGAGUCACAGCAGACAGACUGGCAGCUAUUGGCCACAGAGCAGACAGAUGGAGAGCAGCUCGGCCUGGGGCACACGGGCUGACAGCAAGCAGGCUCACAGAUCACUGGCUGGCAGGAAGUAGGCACAGUGCACACAGCUGGCUGGCAGCAGCUGGGUUUGCAGAGGAUGGUCUGGCAGGAAGUGGGCACACAGAGGACUGGUUGGCAGGAAGGGGCUUUGCAGCACACAGGCUGGGCACAGCUGCUCACAGAACAGGUGGGCUCACAGAUGGUGGCCUCACAGCACACAGGCUGGGCACAGCAGCUCACGGGGCAGGUGGGCUCACAGAUGGUGGCCUCGCAGCACACGGGCUGGGCACAGCUGCUCACAGAACAGGUGGGCUCACAGAUGGUGGCCUCGCAGCACACGGGCUGGGCACAGCAGCUCACGGGGCAGGUGGGCUCACAGAUGGUGGCCUCGCAGCACACAGGCUGGGCACAGCUGCUCACAGAACAGGUGGGCUCACAGAUGGUGGCCUCGCAGCACACGGGCUGGGCACAGCAGCUCACGGGGCAGGUGGGCUCACAGAUGGUGGCCUCAUAGCACACGGGCUGGGCACAGCUGCUCACGGAACAGGUGGGCUCACAGAUGGUGGCCUCACAGCACACAGGCUGGGCACAGCAGCUCACGGGGCAGGUGGGCUCACAGAUGGUGGCCUCGCAGCACACAGGCUGGACACAGCUGCUCACAGAACAGGUAGGCUGACAGCCCUGGGAGCCACAGCUGGAUGAUCCACAGCUAUCUUGACAAGUCACCAACUGCCACGUCUGGCUCCGGCAGGAACUGGGCAAGCAAAUUGGCCCACUGCAGCUCACCUCAGUGGAGCAGAGGGAUAUGGCUGGCACAGAGGGGCAUUUCCUAGAACAGCAGUUUCCAGACAUGGUGAAGGUACCUCUGCCCCCUCGUGAGUGCUGAGAGGUUGCUGCCUGACUGGGGCAGCACUCCGGGGCCCUCACUUUUAUACCCCUACUUCCUGGCACGUGCUGUUUUGAGCCCCUGCAUCUUUUCCUCAUUGCUGUUUGGGCCAGUUUGUGGAGGAGCAGCUUAUUAAGUCCAUGUUUGUUGAUCUUGAAGUUGUAUCUACUCAUAAGGGAGCUGUUUGUUUACUGACUUGCUAAAGUGGGACUCCUCAGAGCUACAGGUCAUCUUGAAAUAAGUACCAUCGCCUCCAAGCUGAAUGGUCUGUGUUUCUGGGCCUCAGGAACAAGGGGAGAGGAAAGGAACGUUUAAUUUAAGCAUCAUCUCGUCCUUUGCACCGGGCUCUGGGCUGGACACAAAGGACACCCACACGAAUAAGAUCGACUCACUCCCAUGGAUCCCACUCUCUGCUGGGCAAGCAUGCAAGCAAACUCAUUGCAAUGCAACAAUAAACUCAACAGUAGACUAAAGGGAAUAGCAGAGAGGAGCAGUGAUGUGCUCUGUGGGAGAGGGGAUAUCUGGGUUGCAUUUUGGGGGGGCCACACCCAUGGCAUGCAGAAGUUCCCAGUGCGGGAAUCAAACCCACCUCACAGCAGCACUGUAGUGACAAAGCUGGACCCUUAACCCACUCAGCCGCAAGGGAACUUCUGGGCUGCAUUUUAAAUGACUGCACUUCACAGCAACAAUCUCACUUAAAACUAUCAUAAGUCCUGUGAGUCAGGGAUUCAUCUCCCCCCACUAUGGGUGAAGAGAAAGAAAGGGGGUUAGAAUCAGAAAGUUUGUCACCUGCUAAAGAUCACAUACUGCUUGCCUCCUCAUCUAGGGCUGCUCUUCUUCCUCUUCACCAUCUUGUCUGGACAGACCUUUCUCAAGAGCCACAUGUCACAGGCUCAGCCCACAAUGCUCUCCUCCAUUCUGUUCUGUGAGCAGCCCUACCCUAAAACACUGGCUCUACCUGACCCUGGAAAGCACCUGACCUGUCCUCUCUGCUUUUCCUCCCUCCUUUUCUUCUACCCACCCCCUUCUCAAGCACUCCGUGGACCUCCAGAGUCCUUCUUGACUUGGAUGAUUUUAACAGCUACUAAAAGAAAGACAAGAUCCAAAGGGUAAACAUAAAAGAUAAGAGAUCUUUCACAAAGACAGAGUGAACAAAACUGAAGAACACAAAGGCUUUCCCAAAGAAUUUUGUCAUUGCUACCACUUGAGACAGACCUGAGGUGAAAAAUGAACCUUAGGUUUCUAAACCCCAAGGCCUGGCAUCCUUGCAGAAUGAAGGACUCACCUUGCUUUUGCUAUGUGCUUUCAAUAUCAAUGCAAAAGGCAAGCUCUCCUUUAGAAAAGCUGGACCAUUG